UACGAAGGGGGCUAGCGUUGUUCGGAUUUACUGGGCGUAAAGCGCACGUAGGCGGAUCGUUAAGUGAGGGGUGAAAUCCCAGGGCUCAACCCUGGAACUGCCUUUCAUACUGGCGAUCUUGAGUCCGGAAGAGGUGAGUGGAACUCCUAGUGUAGAGGUGGAAUUCGUAGAUAUUAGGAAGAACACCAGUGGCGAAGGCGGCUCACUGGUCCGGUACUGACGCUGAGGUGACGAAAGCGUGGGGAGCAAACAGG
RNAcentral lists this ribosomal RNA (254 nucleotides) under uncultured bacterium. RNAcentral describes it as "partial 16S ribosomal RNA". It matches the Rfam family "Bacterial small subunit ribosomal RNA", at positions 524 to 776 of the family's 1533-position model. The record is from RNAcentral.